Molecule: ribosomal RNA, 377 nt
Filed under: uncultured eukaryote
Lineage: Eukaryota
Description: SSU rRNA
Rfam family: Eukaryotic small subunit ribosomal RNA
Source: RNAcentral
AGCUCCAAUAGUGUAUAUUAAUUCUGUUGUGGUUAAAAAGCUCGUAGUCGGAUUUUAGAAUUUGAAAUCAAAUAGUGCUCAAGUAGUAUCUAUGGAUUUUGAAUUUUCCUUUUUUGUGGGGGGAAGGUUCUAUACCGCUCCCCCUACUUAUUUUAUUAUGACAAACUCUAAGUGUUCAAAACAUACUUCUUUUUGUAUUGAAAGUCACAGCAUGAGAUAAUUUAAUAUGAUGAUUUGCUUUAUUUUAUUGGUUUCUAAAGCUAUUAUAAUGAUAAAUAGGGCCAGUUGGGGUCGCUAGUAUUGAAUUGUCAGAGGUGAAAUUCUAGGAUUUAUUCAAGACUGACUAAUGCGAAAGCAUGCCGACAAGGAUGGUUUCA